GUGGGAUGGGCGCAUCCUACACAGGCAGUCGUACGCUGUCUAAUCAACCACCGGAGCUUGCUCCACCGGAAAAGAGGAGUGGCGAACGGGUGAGUAACACGUGGGUACCUGCCCAUCAGAAGGGGAUAACACUUGGAAACAGGUGCUAAUACCGUAUAACAAUCGAAACCGCAUGGUUUUGAUUUGAAAGGCGCUUUCGGGUGUCGCUGAUGGAUGGACCCGCGGUGCAUUAGCUAGUUGGUGAGGUAACGGCUCACCAAGGCCACGAUGCAUAGCCGACCUGAGAGGGUGAUCGGCCACAUUGGGACUGAGACACGGCCCAAACUUAUACGGGAGGCAGCAGUAGGGAAUCUUCGGCAAUGGACGAAAGUCUGACCGAGCAACGCCGCGUGAGUGAAGAAGGUUUUCGGAUCGUAGAACUCUGUUGUUAGAGAAGAACAAGGAUGAGAGUAACUGUUCAUCCCUUGACGGUAUCUAACCAGAAAGCCACGGCUAACUACGUGCCAGCAGCCGCGGUAAUACGUAGGUGGCAAGCGUUGUCCGGAUUUAUUGGGCGUAAAGCGAGCGCAGGCGGUUUCUUAAGUCUGAUGUGAAAGCCCCCGGCUCAACCGGGGAGGGUCAUUGGAAACUGGGAGACUUGAGUGCAGAAGAGGAGAGUGGAAUUCCAUGUGUAGCGGUGAAAUGCGUAGAUAUAUGGAGGAACACCAGUGGCGAAGGCGGCUCUCUGGUCUGUAACUGACGCUGAGGCUCGAAAGCGUGGGGAGCAAACGGGAUUAGAUACCCUGGUAGUCCACGCCGUAAACAAUGAGUGCUAAGUGUUGGAGGGUUUCCGCCCUUCAGUGCUGCAGCUAACGCAUUAAGCACUCCGCCCGGGGAGUACGACCGC
Molecule: ribosomal RNA, 886 nt
Filed under: Enterococcus lactis
Lineage: Bacteria; Bacillati; Bacillota; Bacilli; Lactobacillales; Enterococcaceae
Description: bacterial SSU rRNA
Rfam family: Bacterial small subunit ribosomal RNA
Source: RNAcentral